RNAcentral lists this ribosomal RNA (253 nucleotides) under uncultured bacterium. RNAcentral's name for it is "partial 16S ribosomal RNA". It matches the Rfam family "Bacterial small subunit ribosomal RNA", at positions 524 to 776 of the family's 1533-position model. The record is from RNAcentral.
UACGUAGGGUGCGAGCGUUGUCCGGAAUUACUGGGCGUAAAGAGCUCGUAGGUGGUUUGUCGCGUUGUUCGUGAAAACUCACAGCUCAACUGUGGGCGUGCGGGCGAUACGGGCAGACUGGAGUACUGCAGGGGAGACUGGAAUUCCUGGUGUAGCGGUGGAAUGCGCAGAUAUCAGGAGGAACACCAGUGGCGAAGGCGGUGCUCUGGGCCGGUACUGACGCUGAGGAGCGAAAGCGUGGGGAGCAAACAGG